This 72-nucleotide transfer RNA is filed under the name Megalops atlanticus (tarpon). It matches the Rfam family "tRNA". From Rfam's summary of the family: Transfer RNA (tRNA) molecules are approximately 80 nucleotides in length. Lineage: Eukaryota; Metazoa; Chordata; Actinopteri; Elopiformes; Megalopidae. The record is from Rfam by way of RNAcentral.
GGCGCGGUGGCCAAGUGGUAAGGCGCCGGUCUCGUAAACCGAAGAUUGUGGGUCCGAACCCCGUCCGUGCCU